Long non-coding RNA from Mastomys coucha (southern multimammate mouse), 1319 nucleotides. RefSeq lists it as uncharacterized. NCBI's taxonomy places the organism in Eukaryota, Metazoa, Chordata, Mammalia, Rodentia, Muridae. The transcript is spliced from 2 exons. The record is from RefSeq and is a predicted model, not a curated record.
GCGCGCCCACGUGGGCCACCGGGCACGGCGGCCGUCAGCUCUGCCAAGUGCCGCGGGUCCGGACUCCUGGGGACUCGCCGCCCCCCAGACGCUCAGAGGCAGUUGCCGGGACUAGAGAGGAUUAGACUCGCAGGGAACAGGCACUGUCCGUCAAGGGCUGGCUGCAGCCCGGAGAGGACCGGAGCGCGGGCAAUGCCCUCACCCACAGGUGAAGCCAUGUCUGAGGGAAGCUGCAUGUCCCACAGAGGAAAGGAGGGUCUCUGAGGAGAGAAGACAGGAGCGGAGUCGGCAGCAUGGAAGAACCAUUACAUCACUGAGGCCCAGAAGGGACCAUCAUCCACCCCUUUGUUUCCCUGAGAGGAGAAAAUGACCAGUGAGACCCACUUGUAUGACUGAAGGACUUCCUGAACUUCCCUCCUGUGUCAGCAUCCAUGUACUAAGGACCACUGGCUUACAAGAAAAAACGAAAGUGUCAUUUCUAACAUCCGUCUUUUUCCUGAGUCUCGCUGUGAGAAAGUUUUGGGGGCACAAAACCAGUUUCCCAUGGGGGAGGAAUAGAGCCCUCUACCUUGGGCAGUGCACAGGCAGGCAGCUCAGGAUUGAUUGGUCAGAACUUCAGCUAGCACCUGCUCUCCUAGGACCCAGCCAGACCUGCCCUGCAGCCUUUGUCCUUGUCCUCGGGAGGGAAACAUUAGUUCAGUUAAUUUUUCAUCCCUGUGGGUGCAAAGUUCAAGAGAGGCAGGAUUGUGGGUGGAGACAGCUAUGUCUCCCUAGGAAUAGAGAGCACAAUCAGGUCAGAGCCUAAGAUACCCACACGCUAAGUGUGUAUGGUGUGGUUCCUGGGGGAAUCAUGCAAAGAAAUGAACAGGAACAUCUGGCCACAGUUAAGAUAGUUAAUCAACAGGUGAUGAAUGGAGAAAGAGCAUCAAGAGGGCUCUGCCUACAUCUCACACAGAAGGGAGGCAACUGGUGGACAAGCAAGGCUUGAAGCAUCAUCAGAGGCCCUCCUGCAGGAGACAGCCUUUGCCUGCAGGCUUGGUCUAGCAGGUGUCUGUAGUCCAUACCCAAGGUGGCCCUCCUAGAACUCAGGAAACCCAGGUUCCACAUGGAGCUCCAUGUCCAGCCAAGAACCAACUUCUAAAAGUUGAUCUCUGACCUCCACAUGAGGGCUGUGGCACACAUCUGCCUCCCAUAAAUGAAUGUAUAUGUACAAAUCAGUAAAUGUAGUUGUCAUUUUAAACAAAGCCACUGUCCCAAGUAAAAUCAAUAAAUUAGUAGUACGAUGCUAUAUGUCAAAUAUAAAGAUAACACACAGCAAA